AUUCCAGCUCCAAUAGCGUAUACUAAAGUUGUUGCAGUUAAAAAGCUCGUAGUUGAAUUUCUGGUCUUGGACGGCGGUCUGCCUCAAACGAGGUACGCACCAUCUGUCCGGGUCCAUCCUCGGGGAAAACAUAUCUGUGAUUCAGUUCAUGGGUAUGGGAUCCUCGUCAUUUACUGUGAGCAAAAUAGGGUGUUCAAAGCAGGCUUAUGCCGUUGAAUACAUUAGCAUGGAAUAAUAAGAUAAGACCUUGGUCUAUUUUGUUGGUUUGCAUUCCAAGGUAAUGAUUAAUAGGGAUAGUCGGGGGCAUUCGUAUUCAAACGACAGAGGUGAAAUUCUUGGACCGUUUGAAGACGAACUAAGGCGAAAGCAUUUGCCAAGAAUGUUUUCAUCA
This 391-nucleotide ribosomal RNA is filed under the name Chrysophyceae sp. RNAcentral describes it as "partial small subunit ribosomal RNA". It matches the Rfam family "Eukaryotic small subunit ribosomal RNA", at positions 582 to 975 of the family's 1831-position model. Lineage: Eukaryota; Chrysophyceae. The record is from RNAcentral.